CCUACGGGGGGCAGCAGUGAGGAAUAUUGGUCAAUGGACGUAGGUCUGAACCAGCCAUGCCGCGUGCAGGAAGACGGCUCUAUGAGUUGUAAACCUCUUUUGUACGGGGGUAAACGCAGAUACGCGUAUCUGUCUGAAAGUAUCUUACGAAUAAGGAUCGGCUAACUCCGUGCCAGCAGCCGCGGUAAUACGGAGGAUUCAAGCGUUAUCCGGAUUUAUUGGGUUUAAAGGGUGCGUAGGCGGUCGGAUAAGUCAGCGGUGAAAUCCCGAGGCUCAACUUGGGAAUUGCCUUUGAUACUGUUAGGCUAGAGAGUAGUUGCGGUAGGCGGAAUGUGUGGUGUAGCGGUGAAAUGCUUAGAGAUCAUACAGAACACCGAUUGCGAAGGCAGCUUACCAAGCUACGUCUGACGUUGAGGCACGAAAGCGUGGGGAUCAAACAGGAUUAGAUACCCGAGUAGUC
RNAcentral lists this ribosomal RNA (460 nucleotides) under uncultured bacterium. Its description in RNAcentral is "partial 16S ribosomal RNA". It matches the Rfam family "Bacterial small subunit ribosomal RNA", at positions 338 to 795 of the family's 1533-position model. The record is from RNAcentral.